Molecule: long non-coding RNA, 1319 nt
Filed under: Citrus x clementina
Lineage: Eukaryota; Viridiplantae; Streptophyta; Magnoliopsida; Sapindales; Rutaceae
Description: Citrus clementina (C. clementina) long non-coding RNA (CCLE_LNC000671)
Source: RNAcentral
GGCGGGCGGCCUCCGUGUGCCAAAAAUAGGCCACGGGCACAGCCGCGCCCAAAAAUCAGCCCCCGAAGGUCGGGGUCACAAGACCCCCCAGCGGAAAAAUGGCCAAGAAACGCGUGGGCUAUAGCCUUGGUGGGGGGCGUGGGCGAAGUUCGUCCGCGGGACUCGGAAUGGCCCCAGACUUGGCGGGCGGCCUCCGUGUGCCAAAAAUAGGCCACGGGCACAGCCGCGCCCAAAAAUCAGCCCCCGAAGGUCGGGGUCACAAGACCCCCCAGCGGAAAAAAGGCCAAGAAACGCGUGGGCUAUAGCCUUGGUGGGGGGCGUGGGCGAAGUUCGUCCGCGGGACUCGGAAUGGCACCAUACUUGGCGGGCGGCCUCCGUGUGCCAAAAAUAGGCCACGGGCACAGCCGCGCCCAAAAAUCAGCCCCCGAAGGUCGGGGUCCCAAGACCCCCCAGCGGAAAAAUGGCCAAAAAACGGGUGGGCUAUAGCCUUGGUGGGGGGCGUGGGCGUCCGCGGGACUCGGAAUGGCACCAUACUUGGCGGGCGGCCUCCGUGUGCCAAAAAUAGGCCACGGGCACAGCCGCGCCCAAAAAUCAGCCCCCGAAGGUCGGGGUCCCAAGACCCCCCAGCGGAAAAAUGGCCAAGAAACGCGUGGGCUAUAGCCUUGGUGGGGGGCGUGGGCGAAGUUCGUCCGCGGGACUCGGAAUGGCCCCAGACUUGGCGGGCGGCCUCCGUGUGCCAAAAAUAGGCCACGGGCACAGCCGCGCCCAAAAAUCAGCCCCCGAAGGUCGGGGUCACAAGACCCCCCAGCGGAAAAAAGGCCAAGAAACGCGUGGGCUAUAGCCUUGGUGGGGGGCGUGGGUGAAGUUCGUCCGCGGGACUCGGAAUGGCACCAUACUUGGCGGGCGGCCUCCGUGUGCCAAAAAUAGGCCACGGGCACAGCCGCGCCCAAAAAUCAGCCCCCGAAGGUCGGGGUCCCAAGACCCCCCAGCGGAAAAAUGGCCAAAAAACGGGUGGGCUAUAGCCUUGGUGGGGGGCGUGGGCGAAGUUCGUCCGCGGGACUCGGAAUGGCCCCAGACUUGGCGGGCGGCCUCCGUGUGCCAAAAAUAGGCCACGGGCACAGCCGCGGCCAAAAAUCAGCCCCCGAAGGUCGGGGUCCCAAGACCCCCCAGCGGAAAAAUGGCCAAGAAACGCGUGGGCUAUAGCCUUGGUGGGGGGCGUGGGCGAAGUUCGUCCGCGGGACUCGGAAUGGCCCCAGACUUGGCGGGCGGCCUCCGUGUGCCAAAAAUAGGCCACGGGCACAGCCGCGCCCAAAAAUCAG